Long non-coding RNA from Haplochromis burtoni (Burton's mouthbrooder), 5192 nucleotides. RefSeq lists it as uncharacterized. Lineage: Eukaryota; Metazoa; Chordata; Actinopteri; Cichliformes; Cichlidae. The record is from RefSeq and is a predicted model, not a curated record. The transcript is spliced from 2 exons.
AAACGAUUCCCCUGAGGUCCUCCAGCCAACGGCAAACUUCCUUUAGUUCUCCUAGCUACAGUCCCACAGACUCACCAUGCGUGCAGAGCCUGUAAACAGCUGGGACUCAGCCACCUGGCCCCAGUGUCUGCCCCCCACGACCCAAGCACUGACGGAGGGAACGCCACAAGACCUCUGCCUUCCCAAAAACAAUCGAGACCCUUUACAGCCUAAAUAAAAGACUCACAGACAGACACGUGUGAAGACGAGCUCUGAUGGAUGAGAAUCACCCCACACCACUCAGUGGUGACAAGGUGACAGCUGUAAACAUGUGAAACCCCUGUGUGUGCUCUUUGAAACAGUCCGUGUUUUCUCACUCUGGGGGAGGUGACACAAAAAUGAUUGCCACCUCAGCACGUGACACACAGGUGACGGUUUAGCACUGGUAUGCUGUAGCAACACCUCUCACACAUGAAACAGAGCUUUUAUCACAACUGGUCUUCGUAUAUACACCAGUCUAAAACAUUAAUCUGUCUUCUGUAUUCCUUCUGGGAGAGUCACAAACUUAAUGAGGAUUGACUCUGACAUAGUAGUGACCACUACUUCCUGCCUGGGGAGGUUUGGAGAGAGGGUUUCUCCAUAUACAAUACAAACAGGAAAUGCCUAAUGCAAUGUUCACAUGCUGUGCCAAGGCCGGAAGAGGGCUUAUAAAGACUUUCUAAUACGUCUGACUUUAUAGAUGGAAACCAAAUAAUCUUUAGACCUAAGCAGCCCUGUACACUUUUCUUUAUCUUCAUGGUCAAAAGCCAACUUUAUGUCAAAUAAAAUAUUACCCUUUACUCCUGUAUCCACACAUUCAAUAAAACACAACAACCUCUGAUUAAUUCAGCAGCAUCCUUUCCCUUGUGGAUUAAAACAACUGCUGACAGUUUGUAGAAGUGAACAACUGUCAAGAUAAAAAUAACAACAAAAAUAAAAGCGAAACCUAUCAGUUCUCUUGGCUAAGCUCUUCUUUCUUUUUUUAUUUGCCUGCUAUUGUUCCACCCAGGCUCAGAAAAGGUGUAGUACAUGCAUCGUGUGCUGCCCUGGCGCAUUAUGUUAGAUGCCAACAGGGUUCGGUGCGACAACCAUCAAGUUCGUGCGGAGGCUCAAACUCCAAUAGAAAAGCUGUACAGUGCUUUCCAUCUCUGUUUAAAACCCUUAAUCUCAUUACACAACUCCAGCAUUUGCAUAUCAAAACAGCUCUAGUGAACUAAAGUAUGAAUAUGACAUCUGAACCAAAUGAAAGACAAACACAGUAAAAUUGUGAGAAACUACAACAGCAACAACUGGCUUAAAUGGGAAGACUUUUGCUGGUGAUGGCUGAGGGUUGAACAGACCAAGAGAGAAUAGUGUGAGCAUGUGUAAAUGAGAAGGGGUGGGGAUUAGUCGUGGGAGAGUGCAGCAAGGGAAUGAGCGGGAAGGCUAGAAUUCCUCAGGGCUCAUUUAGGGGCCUUUGUGGCAUUGUGGGGGAGCCUAACACAAUGCAUGACUGUGCCAUCGUCAGGGAAACGCCUCUGUCAACGACAGCCAUUGAGAUCAAGAAAGGGGAAGAUAACGACCCAUCUUCCACCUCUAGUCAUUCGGGCUCUUACGUAACACUAAACAGGCCUGGACCUCAUUUGAACAACAAUCAAAGUUGUUUAAAAAGGGUGUGUUGCCUGCUGGUAGCCUGCUGGUCAGGUGUUUACUGAACAUUAGCUGCAGGAGGGGAUUAUGCACAGCAAUUUAUCACAGUUGUUAGAAAGACAUUAUAAUCAUCAUUGGGAGUGUAAGAGCUCUCUAGAUUUAUUAGAAUCUACCAGUGUUUGCAAACAGGGAAUUUCCAUUUCAGCUACGUCAUGGGCACAAAAGAUAGCUGCAUGCGACGCAUGUUAACACAUGAAUAGCAUACUGAAUGCAUUUGAAAGCCUUUCCAUCAGUUAGCAGGUGAGACUUACAAGAAGACAGAGAUAUGUAAAAUAACACAAGGUUAUUUUAUUCUGCCUUUGUGAAAACAACUGCAUAAUCUGACCUGGGAAACAAAUCAGCAAAUUUGAAUAAGUGUAAGCAGCUCUUUUGCCUCCCCCAUAUACACAGUCCAAGACACCCCUGUCACGUUUCUGAAUACUAACAUUUGUCCCUGUGAUCUUCUGUGCUGCUACGGGAACACGGCUGUCAGGAGAUCCAUUUCUCUUUUCUUUUAAACAUAGACUAACAGUUGUUGGAAAAGCCAUCAGCUGAGUCAUUUUGCCGGAUAUGGAUUUGGAAGUUCUUAUAUUCCUCCUGAGAAUAGUGGGGGUCUGAAAAGCACGGGUUAUUAUUAACAUUGGCUGGACAGGAAGAGGAAAUGAGGUCGCACAGGCCAAGCUUCUGCUACACAAACACCUCGGAGCACAGACCAAUGGGAUCACUGCGAUCUGCGUGGAGGAAGGAAACUAAAAAGACAAAGAUUCGCAGAGGACAAUGCUGUAUCCACUACGUCAGGGUUCAAAGCUCAUUCUACGUCCCGCUUGUGAAUAGUCCAUCAUAUAAAAAAAUAAUUAAAUUAACACACAUGAAGAGCAAAGCUUUAAGCAUUUCACUUCCUACAAGAUACCUUCAGAGAGCCCAGUUGUCCUGAAACAGCUGAAGUGACACACGUCCCUACUAUGAACCAAGACGCCUACCAGCUGUGUCCGUCUGUGGCUCUCGAAGCCUGAACUAAUGGGGAGUGCCGGGAUAGGUCAAAGGACAACCACUAGAUUCGUUCUGAGGGGAAAGUGUAAGGCCAAACCCAAGUAAAUUCCAGAGAGACUCGCCCCAGGAAUUUGAAAGUAUAUCUGCGACUCCUUUUCUGAGGAGGAGUCAAAUUAUAGCACAGCGUGUAUGACAUUAUUAAAACAGCUGCCUGUUCACACAUCUAAACACACACACAGACCCUUUCAUAGUCAGUCUCUAACAGUAAAAGAUCAGAGUGAUAAAAUAAAGUACUAUAGUGGAAACUCUUUAAGCAAAAAACCCAACAACCCAUCUUUGAUAUUUCAAGUCAUCUGAGAAUCUGAGAUAGUCAGAAUUAUGCCUGAAGCAGCUCACAUGUGCUGCCUUGAGUUCUUUAUGAAAACAGUCAAAAUAUACCAUCACAGAACCCGAGAGGAAAGUUAACAUUAAAAGGAAGGCUUCAAUGAUAUCUCAAACAGAGCAAGAGAGACUUUUGAAUAAACUGUGUCAGCGAGACACACAAGACUAGCACUGUGAUUUAGUUCAAGAAAGCCAUAAACGUAUGGAAAACACAGAAGGAAACCGUAAGAGAACGAGCGUAGAAUAAAACUAAACAAGCACCCUGUCGAUGCUAACCAGACCAAAGUACAGGAUUACAAGUUCAACCUUUUUCCCCACAGUAUUACUUUUAUGUAGAUGUGGGAAAAAAAGAGAGAAAACCUUUAUUGUUACAGGCAGACUUACAACACCAUCUGCAAAAAUCUUUAAAAAAAAAAAAAGAGCUUACCACACCACGAGUGUAGAGAUGAAACAAGUCUGUCCAGUAUGUAUGUUGUGGCUACAUCCUCACAGUGGCAGGAGAUGAAAAGCAUAAGGAGCUUCUGCUCUGGCAGUCAACAGGCACACAAUGUGUGACUCAUUAAAAAACUUAAAAACGUUAUCGACCCUAUAAGACGUCUCCUCAUUUCCUAAAUAAACCCACUGGUGAUUUCUCCCACAUGAUUCACUGCCAGUGAGUCACAACUAUAUGAGGGGAAGCCGGUUGUGCUUUUAGCCUUUUUAUGCUUUUUGCUUUUGAGUGUGUGGUUAAUUUUGAAAAAAUCCCUUUCAACAAAUUCCCAACACAAAGUGAAAGAGAAAUUUAAAGAAAACGUUUCCAGUUCCGUUUUUCACUUCUCGUCAGUUCAUGGGGAAUAUUUUUAAAAGUUGGUCCCCUGGCUUCCUGAAAAUAAAUCAGACUACAAGAAACCCAACAUCCCUUUAAGUAAAGUCAGUGCACACUCGUAAAAGCAGCUGUGCCGACUCCUCUUUGAUGUGUAGAAGCUUUGGUAUAAGCUUGAACAUAACUGCGUACACUCUGGUACUCAGAUAGAAAAUGGCAUUUUUCUGCAUCUUCACAAAUCCAAAGCAAGGAAAGGCGACUUUUAAGUGUCUAAUGUCAACGUGACAUGCUUUGACUGAAUUGCUGGUGCACCGCUAUAUCAUUACAGGGCUAAAUGAGAGGGCACAUUCAAGUUAUUGGGCGUUCUUCUCUAGUCAGCAUACCUACACUUCCAGCUCAGAGAAAGCGUUCAGUUGACUGAGGGGAUAGCGGGGUUUUAAGAGAAAGCCUUUGUUCCUAUUAGUGGUCUAUUAUACACCCCAGGGUGGCACGAGAGGCAAAAGAGUGCUGCGACCCUGAUGUGAACCACCUCGGUUCAUUUCUGGGUUGUCUGGCUGUCACGUGUCCUCUGCAGACUUAUAACAUCUUCCCAACCUCAGCAGGUCUCCUCCAUGGAGGGAGCCCACACACAUACACUCAGGUCGCACACACUUUCUAGAGUCAAAUCUCCCACACAUGUUACCUGGUUAAUGACAGCACAGACCUGCACAUGCAUUAAACAGCUAAGUGAAAUUCAAGACAGAUGUUUUAAGCCAUCUGGUAUAUGACACCUUUGUCUGCUGCAUCAUGAAAAGAGAUCAGUUAGUCACGCCUUCCUGGCCAUAACUGAAAGUAGUUGGCAUGUUUAUCUCUGAAGAGCUCGGUACUUCCCAGAUGAGCUCUAGACUAAAACACUUUUAAAAAAAAUUCCCAUGACAUGUGAUAAGACUCGGCCAAUGAGUAACAAAUUGGGCACGCAGGUAGUUAGUUCAUGUGCUUUCACUUCCUAUGAUCACAAACUAAGAAAAAUACAGAUAUGAGCCACACAGUAAGAGGAAACUGCAUCUAUCAGGCUGGAAUAAUAUUAUAGUACAGGGUGUGUUGUUUGAAAACUUUGGAAACUAUUUUGAACAGAUUUAUUAAUAGCUUGAAAAAAAAGCCCACCAGCAGUGGAAAAACUGGAACAGACCCAUCUCUGCAAUGUAUAGCAUUGUUUUCAAAGGUCAGAAGUGAAUAAAAACCCUCUGAAAAAGAAGAAAACUAUGAUGCAAAAACAGACUUAACGCAAUGAACGCAACGUCUUAGGAAAGUGACAAGUUGUGACAGGAAGGAGAAUGGCAAGAAAGGGAGAAAA